RNAcentral lists this unclassified non-coding RNA (332 nucleotides) under rhizosphere metagenome. RNAcentral describes it as "partial ribosomal RNA internal transcribed spacer region". The record is from RNAcentral.
GUAGGUGAACCUGCGGAAGGAUCAUUAUCGAAUAUAAACUUGGGUAGACUGUUGCUGGCUUCUCUUUCGAGGAGCAUGUGCACGUUUAUCCUCUUUAUUUUUCCACCUGUGCACCUUUUGUAGGCUUGGAAUUAUUUUAAUAGUGUCUUUCCCAAAGGCAUAAGAAUUUUUUGGGACUGCUGUGUUUAAACGCAUGUUUAUCGGCUUUCCCUUUUAUUUUUCCAAGUCUAUGUUUUUCAUAUACACUCCAGAAAUUUGAUAGAAUGCUGUACUUGUAGGUCAUACCUAUAAUAAAAUCAGUACAACUUUCAGCAACGGAUCUCUUGGCUCUC